GCAAGAUUUAAGCCUUGUACCUUUUGCAUCAUGAUUUAGCCAGCACACCCAAGCAAAGAGCCCUUUAGUUUGACCCCCCGAAACUGGGUGAGCUACUCCAAGACAGCCUAAUAAGAAGGGCAAACCCGUCUCUGUGGCAAAAGAGUGGGAAGAGCUUCGAGUAGGGGUGACAGACCUAUCGAACCCAGUUAUAGCUGGUUGCCCGGGAAUUGGAUUUAAGUUCAGCUUGUUCAGCUUCUCCUUAAACUGACAUAGUUAGUCGAAGGGGGUACAGCCCCUUCGAAACAGGACACAACCUUUUAAGGAGGAUAAAGAUCAUACUCAAUAAGGAUAAAUGUUUUAGUGGGCCUAAGAGCAGCCACCCUAUCAAAAAGCGUUAAAGCUUGAACAUGGAUCCCGAUAAGACCCUCUUAAUCCCCUUUGUAGUACCGAGCCGUCCUAUGCCUCCAUAGGAGAGACUAUGCUAAUAUGAGUAAUAAGAGAGGACUCUCUCCUCGCACACCUGUAUAUCGGAAUGGACAAACCACCGAACCUUAACGGCCCCCAUUAAAGAGGGUAGUGUGCUAAAUCAAGAAAACCUCACACCGUUACCCCCACACUGGCGUGCCCCCUAGGAAAGACUAAAAGAAGAAGAAGGAACUCGGCAAACAAGCCUCGCCUGUUUACCAAAAACAUCGCCUCUUGCAUGUAUAAGAGGUCCCGCCUGCCCAGUGACACUCAGUUCAACGGCCGCGGUAUUUUGACCGUGCUAAGGUAGCGUAAUCACUUGUCUUUUAAAUGAAGACCUGUAUGAAUGGCAUAACGAGGGCUUAACUGUCUCCUUCUUCCAGUCAAUGAAAUUGAUUUCCCCGUGCAGAAGCGGGGAUUCCUCCAUAAGACGAGAAGACCCUAUGAAGCUUUAGGUACAAAGGCAGCCCCUGUCCAUCACCCCUAAUAAAGGACUAAACCUUAAGGAGCCUGCUCUAUUACCUUCGGUUGGGGCGACCCUGGGGUACGACAAAACCCCCAUGCGGAAUGGGAGCACUCCUACAAACCUGAGCAACAACUCCAGUUAACAGAAAUUCUGACCCCCUCGAUCCGGCACUGCCGAUUAACGAACCAAGUUACUCUAGGGAUAACAGCGCAAUCCUCUUUUAGAGCCCAUAUCGACAAGGGGGUUUACGACCUCGAUGUUGGAUCAGGACAUCCUAAUGGUGCAG
Molecule: ribosomal RNA, 1199 nt
Filed under: Rhombosolea tapirina (greenback flounder)
Lineage: Eukaryota; Metazoa; Chordata; Actinopteri; Pleuronectiformes; Rhombosoleidae
Description: partial 16S ribosomal RNA
Rfam family: Bacterial large subunit ribosomal RNA
Source: RNAcentral